UACGUAGGGUGCGAGCGUUAAUCGGAAUUACUGGGCGUAAAGCGUGCGCAGGCGGUUUUGUAAGCCAGAUGUGAAAUCCCCGGGCUCAACCUGGGAAUGGCAUUUGGGACUGCAAGGCUUGAGUGCGGCAGAGGAGACUGGAAUUUCUGGUGUAGCAGUGAAAUGCGCAGAUAUCGGGAGGAACACCAGUGGCGAAGGCGGCACUCUGGGCCGGUACUGACGCUGAGGAGCGAAAGCGUGGGGAGCGAACAGG
RNAcentral lists this ribosomal RNA (253 nucleotides) under uncultured bacterium. RNAcentral's name for it is "partial 16S ribosomal RNA". It matches the Rfam family "Bacterial small subunit ribosomal RNA", at positions 524 to 776 of the family's 1533-position model. The record is from RNAcentral.